Molecule: long non-coding RNA, 427 nt
Organism: Penaeus vannamei (Pacific white shrimp)
Lineage: Eukaryota; Metazoa; Arthropoda; Malacostraca; Decapoda; Penaeidae
Source: RefSeq, a predicted model, not a curated record
AUAAAAUCUCUCGUCUCCGUUCGCGGUCAUCAUCCGAAGCGAAGAGCGCAGAAGCCAAGCCAACUUUGCUUACAUUAACUAUAACCGGUGAAAAUGGCUCAAAUUGUGUACCAACCGUUUUCCUUCGACAAUGGAGUCAAGAAUAUGUUCCACGCAGAAGCUCCAUUAAGCCAAAAGCACCGCAGCGAAAGCCUUCCUCGCCAUCCAGAACGGCUGCCACAUCCGCUGCAGGAAGAAGACAUGGAAGCUGAAGUGUUCGAUUCAUCUCCGUCCGCGAUUAUGAAAGAUCUUCCCUCAGCGACUCCGUCUGGCAGUCGACGCAGGAGUAUCUGAGGACUCGAUUUCCCUCGGGUGUCAUUCCGAUCACUGGAUUUGUAUUUUCAUGGACACGGUGUUGCAAUCUCAUCAAUAAAAGUAACAGUGAAAA